Molecule: ribosomal RNA, 233 nt
Filed under: uncultured bacterium
Lineage: Bacteria
Description: partial 16S ribosomal RNA
Rfam family: Bacterial small subunit ribosomal RNA
Source: RNAcentral
CGGGGCCUACGGGGGGCAGCAGUGAGGAAUAUUGGUCAAUGGGCGCAAGCCUGACCCAGCAACGCCGCGUGAAGGAAGAAGGCUUUCGGGUUGUAAACUUCUUUUCUCAGGGACGAAGCAAUUGACGGUACCUGAGGAAUAAGCCACGGCUAACUACGUGCCAGCAGCCGCGAUAAUACGUAGGUGGCAAGCGUUAUCCGGAUUUCCUGGGUGUAAAGGGCGUGUAGGCGGGG